GCUGGGCAUGGUAGCGUAUGCCUGUAAUCCCAGCAGCUCAGGAGGCUGAGGCAGGAGGAUCACAAAUUCCAAGCCAGCCUCAGCAAAAGUGAGGCGCUAAGUAACUCAGUGAGACCCUGUCUCUA
RNAcentral lists this small RNA (125 nucleotides) under Marmota monax (woodchuck). The record is from RNAcentral. Lineage: Eukaryota; Metazoa; Chordata; Mammalia; Rodentia; Sciuridae.